Molecule: ribosomal RNA, 396 nt
Filed under: uncultured bacterium
Lineage: Bacteria
Description: partial 16S ribosomal RNA
Rfam family: Bacterial small subunit ribosomal RNA
Source: RNAcentral
AUACGUAGGGGGCGAGCGUUAUCCGGAUUUAUUGGGCGUAAAGCGUGUGUAGGCGGUUUGUUAAGUUUAAGAUUAAAGCCCGAGGCUUAACCUCGGUUCGUCUUAAAAACUGGCAGACUUGAGUGCAGGAGAGGUAAGCGGAAUUCCUAGUGUAGCGGUGAAAUGCGUAGAUAUUAGGAGGAACACCAGUGGCGAAGGCGGCUUACUGGACUGUAACUGACACUGAGGCACGAAAGCGUGGGGAGCAAACAGGAUUAGAUACCCUGGUAGUCCACGCUGUAAACGAUGAAUACUAGGUGUAGGGGGUAUCAACUCCCUCUGUGCCGCAGCAAACGCAAUAAGUAUUCCGCCUGGGGAGUACGGCCGCAAGGUUGAAACUCAAAUGAAUUGGCGGGG